RNAcentral lists this ribosomal RNA (489 nucleotides) under Stenotrophomonas maltophilia. RNAcentral describes it as "bacterial SSU rRNA". It matches the Rfam family "Bacterial small subunit ribosomal RNA", at positions 32 to 511 of the family's 1533-position model. Lineage: Bacteria; Pseudomonadati; Pseudomonadota; Gammaproteobacteria; Lysobacterales; Lysobacteraceae. The record is from RNAcentral.
UAACGCUGGCGGUAGGCCUAACACAUGCAAGUCGAACGGCAGCACAGUAAUGAGCUUGCUCUUAUGGGUGGCGAGUGGCGGACGGGUGAGGAAUACAUCGGAAUCUACCUUUUCGUGGGGGAUAACGUGAGGGAAACUUACGCUAAUACCGCAUACGACCUUCGGGUGAAAGCAGGGGACCUUCGGGCCUUGCGCGGAUAGAUGAGCCGAUGUCGGAUUAGCUAGUUGGCGGGGUAAAGGCCCACCAAGGCGACGAUCCGUAGCUGGUCUGAGAGGAUGAUCAGCCACACUGGAACUGAGACACGGUCCAGACUCCUACGGGAGGCAGCAGUGGGGAAUAUUGGACAAUGGGCGCAAGCCUGAUCCAGCCAUACCGCGUGGGUGAAGAAGGCUUCGGGUUGUAAAGCCCUUUUGUUGGGAAAGAAAACAAUCGAUUAAUACUCGGUUGUUCUGACGGUACCAAAGAUAAGACCGGUACUUCUGCACACG